UUGUUUGUCAGAGGCUCUGAAAUUCUGUGAUAAAGCCAUCGUGGAUGAAGAUUCUAGUGGGGAGACCUAACAUCAAACAACUGUUUUGGAGUUUAGUGGAGGUUCGUUGACUGACUCCAUCCAUCUUUUAUUUGAUCUCUCAGGUUGACCGCCACGACAGUUUGGGUUUGGUAGGAAAAACUUCCCCACUGUUGUUUCUGAUGACAUCACGUGCAUGCCUAAAAAAUUCAUUAUUUAUUAUAUUAAUUUUUUAUGAAAUUUAAGUUUCGGAAAAAUGUGUUCGUAAUUAAUAAAAUUUAAACUUCACCUUUAAGUUAAUUAAGGAUCUCUUAAUUAAAUUUUGAUUAUAAAUUUUAAAUUAAAUUCUAAUUAGAUGCAAUGAUUAUAUUAAUUGAAAAUUUUAGUUAUAAUGACACUAAUUUUAUUAUUAUUAAUUCUAAACAAAAUUUAAGAUCAUCUAAUUAAAAAUUUGAACAACUUCCAUAUAUAGUAAAAAGUUUUGAUAUGAUUAAAACAACAACAAGUGUCAUAAGUGUACAAUAUUUGUAUCACACAUAUAUAUAUAUAUGUAUGAUACAUUGCUUCAUAAUAAGCGGCAUAUGACUAAAACUCUGAUAGAAAUAAAAGUAUUUAACAGUUGAAUAUUUUACAUCGUUAUCAGGGAGUGUGACUGUGAGAGGAGAAUACUUUCUCCACUUGAAGAGCUAGAAAGAGGAAGGCCAGCAACGAAACAGAGAUUCCAGAUACCAUAAUCACCAAC
This 760-nucleotide long non-coding RNA is filed under the name Carica papaya (papaya). Its description in RNAcentral is "long non-coding RNA (CPAP_LNC004721)". Lineage: Eukaryota; Viridiplantae; Streptophyta; Magnoliopsida; Brassicales; Caricaceae. The record is from RNAcentral.